Molecule: ribosomal RNA, 407 nt
Filed under: uncultured Terriglobales bacterium
Lineage: Bacteria; Pseudomonadati; Acidobacteriota; Terriglobia; Terriglobales
Description: bacterial SSU rRNA
Rfam family: Bacterial small subunit ribosomal RNA
Source: RNAcentral
GACGGUACCNGAAGAAGAAGCUGCGGCUAAYUACGUGCCAGCAGCCGCGGUAAUACGNAGGCAGCUAGCGUUGUUCGGAAUUACUGGGCGUAAAGAGUGUGUAGGCGGUGCUCUAAGUUCGGUGUGAAAUCUCCUGGCUUACCUGGGAGGGUGCUCCGGAAACUGGAGUGCUGGAUCGUGGGAGAGGAAAGCGGAAUUCCUGGUGUAGCGGUGAAAUGCGUAGAUAUCAGGAGGAACACCUGUGGUGUAGACGGCUUUCUGGACCAUAGUUGACGCUGAGACACGAAAGCGUGGGUACCAACCAGGAUUAGAAUACCCCUGGUAGUCCACGCCCUAAACGAUGCAUACUUGGUGUCGGCCAUUCAGUUGGUCNGUGCCGGAGCUAACGCGUAAAGUAUGCCGCCUGG